UCAUCAUCAUCAUCAUCACCAUAAUCAAAUUCACUUGAAUCUUCACUCUCUGUCUCAGCAAUGUCUUCUCCAGAAUCAGACUCGUAUUCAUCUCGGAGAUGAUCGCCUUCAUCAGACACAAAGUAACCAGAUAGAUGGAUGCUUCGUGGGCCAAUCACCGAGAAGGCUACCAAUUCAUCCUUGAAUUCGAGAUUCAAGGAGCAAGAUUCAAUUCUAUCUGGUAACAAGGAACACAAGAAAAUUGGACUUUUAUGCCCAACAGAACACUGAAGGAUGCUCCUCUCUCUUGAUGAACCAAGGCCUAGAGUUGCCUGAGUUACAUAAAGCCUUCCUUCCACAUUAUCAGAGUGGUAAGGGUGCGGUUUGCCUGGUUUCACUUCAAUUCCCCAAAAACCCAUUGUUUUCUCUCG
This 410-nucleotide unclassified non-coding RNA is filed under the name Hevea brasiliensis (rubber tree). Lineage: Eukaryota; Viridiplantae; Streptophyta; Magnoliopsida; Malpighiales; Euphorbiaceae. The record is from RNAcentral.